Molecule: ribosomal RNA, 496 nt
Filed under: uncultured bacterium
Lineage: Bacteria
Description: partial 16S ribosomal RNA
Rfam family: Bacterial small subunit ribosomal RNA
Source: RNAcentral
GACGAACGCUGGCGGCGCGCCUAAUACAUGCAAGUUGAGCGCUGAAGGUUGGUACUUGUACCAACUGGAUGAGCAGCGAACGGGUGAGUAACGCGUGGGGAAUCUGCCUUUGAGCGGGGGACAACAUUUGGAAACGAAUGCUAAUACCGCAUAAAAACUUUAAACACAAGUUUUAAGUUUGAAAGAUGCAAUUGCAUCACUCAAAGAUGAUCCCGCGUUGUAUUAGCUAGUUGGUGAGGUAAAGGCUCACCAAGGCGAUGAUACAUAGCCGACCUGAGAGGGUGAUCGGCCACAUUGGGACUGAGACACGGCCCAAACUCCUACGGGAGGCAGCAGUAGGGAAUCUUCGGCAAUGGACGAAAGUCUGACCGAGCAACGCCGCGUGAGUGAAGAAGGUUUUCGGAUCGUAAAACUCUGUUGGUAGAGAAGAACGUUGGUGAGAGUGGAAAGCUCAUCAAGUGACGGUAACUACCCAGAAAGGGACGGCUAACUACGU